Molecule: long non-coding RNA, 2319 nt
Filed under: Anas zonorhyncha (Eastern spot-billed duck)
Lineage: Eukaryota; Metazoa; Chordata; Aves; Anseriformes; Anatidae
Description: lncRNA (ENSAZOG00000015182.1)
Source: RNAcentral
AUGGAGUGGGAUGCGUGUUGGUUUGAUUUGGCUUCCUGGAAGCUGCUGGGUUUGCUCUGUCUUUUUCCUGGUGAAAUGGAAACACGGCUUUAUUUGCUCUGUCCCAGUGACCCUCUCAUUGGGCAGGAAUGGUUAAAUGCUGAUCCGUGGUACUCUACCAGUGUGUCUUGUAAUGAUUUGCUCAUUUUUACAAGCCUUGAUUUGGACAGGGGCUCAUCUUGGCACGGCAAAGCCACAGGAUUUAUGGGCAAUUAUACCAAUAUUAAAAAAAAUCUUCCAGACCAGCUAGUAAUACAUGAUUAAUAGAUGCAUUACAUAGAAGUACUCUGGCAGCCAGCUCCUGGCCGCUCAAAUGAUGUCUAAAUCUGCCUUUCUGUGUCGUACACGUACAACACCUCGCUCAGUACCAACCCCAAAGCAUUUGCACGGGGUGCCUGGAGGAUCCAAGCUUGGAAACGCAGCCAGGUUCAGGUUCGUUACAGGUUCUGGACCACAGCCUGCUCCGUGUAAAUGCAGUAAUCAGCAUCCUCCUGCGUGGCUGCGGACCAGGAGCAAUCCCAGGAACUUCUUUGGCCUCUCUUCUGGAGCAGGUGCCUGUGCAGAGCAGGAAGGUGCUUGCCCUUGGUUGUGUACAGCCUGAGUUCUCCCGUGCAGGAUGGGGUGGGUGUGUGUGUCCAUGCCCCUGCUGGCUUAGGGGGUGGCAGUGACCAGGACAACUCCAUCAGGCUGCGGGUGGACAUGGGAGAAGGGAAACGCAGGCAUCUGUUCUGCUUCAUCUUUUAUAUUGGAUUGCUCCUACAUCAUCAAAAAUCUGCCAUGGUGUACAAAAUCCCAUUGACAUGCUAACCCCAAAGAGUUCCAAAGAUGGGCUUGGGAACUCUGUUGGAUGCCAAACUCAGUGAAGAUGGAUUUUAAUGUCACAUCAGUCCCCCUUUCACCUCUGACAGUCCCUAGGCCAUCCCUCAGCAUCUCCCCCUCCUCUGGCGGGUGGUAAUCCCUCUCCCUCUUUGUCUCAAGCCCCGCUGGGACAGUCUGGAGAGCUGGAGGGCUGCUGCAUGUCUGCUGGGAUCACAAAAUCAUGUUAGGUUGGAAGAGACCUCCAAGAUCGCCUACUCCAACCUGUUACCUUGUGCUGUUGGUGCUGCAGGGUCUUCUACCCCGUAAUUUCAGUUCUGAAGUGCCUUAAGUCCUCUCAAAGAACAGCUCGGUGCCCUUCUCCCACUGUGUGCGCAUAUUUACCACCUGCAGUGGUUGUUAUUCGCGCUGCCCUGACGUGCCUGCACACUUCACAGCAUGCGCAUCACCCUGGAGGACCCGAGCCGUGCUGCGAGCCCAGGUUCUGCGGGAGCAGCAAGGUGCUGCCAGCCUCUUGUGAAACGUCUCGUUUAUCUCACCUGGGCUUCUAGGUGAUUUUCUCAAGGUGCGUGGAGCUGAGCAGCUCCAUCUCUGCGAUUCUCUCCUCCUGCAGGCAUGUCGGCUUAUUGCAUUAGGUCCAUGCAAACAUCAGUUGCACCAUUCCAACAGAGAAAUGUGCUCUUAGCAGCUGUCAAAACUUCCUGCUCAAUAUAUUCAUUGCUGUCUAUAGACAGUUCUGCCAGCAAAAGCAGAAACAAGUCCUGAUUAGCACUCAGCUAAGCUGAAAGUCCUGACUGCUGUACAUAAAAUAGGUUUAAAUCUUUGUUGUCGCUCCUGAAGUCUGGUUUUUAAUUUUAGCACCUUAAUUGGGACUUCAUAGCUGUGACAUCAAUCCUGCAGCUGAUGAAUACGCAGAUAAAAUGUCCUGUUCUGGUUGCUGACACUGUAGUUUGAGGCUGUGAUUUUGGGAGUUUUUUUUUUUGUUUUUUUUUUUUGAGUCAGGCAGUGAUAAAUUUGUACUGAAAGUUACAGGGGGGUUCGAAUACCUGUACCACAACUGUGUUGUUUGUUUGUUUGUUUUUGUCAUUCCUGUUGUCACACCAUUAAUUCUAAUGUUUUUCAUCUCUGGCUAUUUGAAUUUACAUUGAUUUUUCUCUCUAAGCACAUCUGUAACUCUAGCAGUCCAAUCAAUUAAUAAGUAUCUUUCUAGGCACAGAGGCUGUUUGGUCUGAGCAUGGCACAGCAUUUUAACUUUGAAACGUUCGGCUUCCACUUCGGAUGAAACAGCAGAAAGUGUAAAAACAAGAGCAAACACUUGAUCCUGUUACUUUACCUGCAUAUUUGCUCAUGGGGGCUGUUCUGGGUCUUGGAAUAUAUUUAUUUAUUUAUUUAUUUAUUUCUUCUCUUGCAUGAGGGAGGGCUUAGAUUUCUCGCACAGCUGUGUGUAUCUGAGCAGGUUUUGUG